UAAUCAUGAUACUACUACCAUUAGUAAAAUAGGACAGCCCGAGCAUAAAAUCUCCCGCUAUACAUGGUAUCCGAGGAAAAACUAGAGCACAAGGAUACGCAAUCUGAUCCUACAUUUCUACAAGAGGUUAUUUCGAUGGCUUAAACCCGUCGUCCUCCUGAUCACAUGACGACAACUUUACCAAUUACACCAACGCUCCCCUUCUUACCCUUUAUAUCAGUCUAGACGCGAUACUCAAGAAUUGAAUUAAGUUGUAAAUCAAAACAACUAGCAAUGAUCUUUCACCAGCACUCUUACAAUUUGUCAAUAACAAAAUUUUGCUUACAGUACACUAGCAUAAAUAAAAUUCCAACGGCAUAGCAAUCUAUCUCCCCACUAGAAACAAUGUUGUUCCUGGCUGUCACUUCUUACCAUCCCUAUUAGAAAAACACCAAUACCUGGGCUUGAUACUUCCCCUUGACGGAAUGAACUCCUGUUAUCUACCACGAGUGUGUCCAUUGUCAAAUUACUGUUGUGCGCAUUGCACUCUCUGGGCACCACCAUGCAUAUCGUCAUCAUCUUCUUCAUAUGCCUCUUGGGCCUGUUGCUGCUGCUUCCUGCGCAUUUCCUCUUCAAUGUUGACAUCAUGCAAGGUGGUCUCCUCGCACUCAUCCAAUUCCAUAUCGGUCGCUUGUGUUUUGGGUUUUUGGGGCAGCACUGCUUCAAGAUUCUUGCACAACUCUGGGGUUAAUGCGUCCGGGAAGUCCACAGUGAAGUGAAUGUACAGUUUACCUCUCAUGAACGAGCUCUGGUACAGCGGCAUUCCUUCAUCAUUUAUGCCCUUGAACUGAUCUAUGGUGCCAAAAACAGAAAUUACACAAUAUCAGCAAACAUAAAUAGAUAACUACCAGUAGAGAAACACCAACCAUAGGAUACUCUCCCCACCCCCAUCCCUGCUCCCCCCCGGUGAUAUGUGUAUCAGCAAGAAGACCGUUUAACCAUGAGCAAGAGACGGUCAUCUAGAGGCAUAUACUUAUCAAUGCAUGCUCACCAUGUAAACACAAAGAAAGUGAGGUAUAGCAUAAGACAACAAAAGUAGACUAAGCAUGCACAUUUGUUAAGUUUUUUUUUUUCUAAAAAAAAAAGGAAAUAAAAGGAACACAAAGAAUUCAAAAACAUGAUAAUGGUCUAGUUACCAGCUUGAGGGCUCAAAGAAAAGCAUAUUAUAAAAAGGGCAGUGUGUUGCACUAAGCUCCCGCUAUGCGUGGAUAGUGGGGUCCGGGAAAGGACCAGACCACAAGGAUCCGUAGUACGCAGCCUUACCUUGCAUUUCUGCAAGAGGCUGUUCUACGAAUCAAACACGUCACCUCCUGGUCACAUGGAUGCAACUUAACCAGUUACGCCAAGACUCCCCUUCAAAGAAAAGCAUACAAAUGCAAGGAAAUUUAUUAGUAUUCAUAUCAAAGAUAUUAAAAGUUAACACUGAAAGCACAUGCCAGGACAAAAAAGACUAUAUAAGCGCUUCCAAUACCUCAAAAAUAAUACUGGUACGAAUAUCAGAACAAAAAGCCCAUUAUUAAGUUUCUUUGGCUUACCAGGCUUGAUAACUUCUCCAGGUUGGGACUUAAUCAUCAGCUGUCUAUUGUCUAAGUGAGUCAAGACAAACUGAAAACCACAUAGAGCCUCAGUCAAGGUCAAGGUGUGUUCUACAAAGAGAUCAUCUCCCUUUCGCUUAAACUUGGGAUGUAACCGAUAAUAUAAAAACCAAACCGACCGAUGCACACCCUUAACUACGGUCAGAGAGUUAAAUAAAUCGAAAAGAAAAGAGUCUGAGGUUGCUCCACAGAAAGCUAACACUCUUAGGGGUCAUUUGGUUGGGAAUGUAAUUAUACUGGGAUUAGUUUUGGUGGAAUAAAUUAUGAUGUGAUAAAUUAUACUAAGAUUAGUUGUAUUGAGACUAUUUUUUAUUGAGUGUUUGAUUUGUUGUAUUUAAAAUAAUAUGCAUGGUUUGUUUUAUUGCGUUAUAUAUAUAUAUAUAUAUAUGAUAAUCUAAAAAUUUGGAGGGCAAUUGUACCCUUUUCUAAUUUUUUCUAAUUUUAUCUCAAGAAUAAAUAAUGAUGGGAUUGUUAUCCCACCAAAUGGGUGAAUAACUUAUCCCAAUACUAUUUAUUAAUCCCAGAAUAAUAUCCCAAAUAUUGCCAACCAAAUACGCAUUAAAAUUUUUAUCCUGAAAUUAUUAUUUUAUCCCGGAAUUAUUUGGUUUUUUACCUUACACCAAAGGACCCUUAAAAUAGGAGAGAGUGAAGUAAGACUGAUGCAGCAUAAGUCUAAGAACAUUGAUGAGAGAGCUGCAUAUGGAAAAAUAAUCAUGAUACUACUACCAUUAGUAAAAUAGGACAGCCCGAGCAUAAAAUCUCCCGCUAUACAUGGUAUCCGAGGAAAAACUAGAGCACAAGGAUACGCAAUCUGAUCCUACAUUUCUACAAGAGGUUAUUUCGAUGGCUUAAACCCGUCGUCCUCCUGAUCACAUGACGACAACUUUACCAAUUACACCAACGCUCCCCUUCUUACCCUUUAUAUCAGUCUAGACGCGAU
This 2574-nucleotide long non-coding RNA is filed under the name Capsicum annuum. RNAcentral's name for it is "long non-coding RNA (CANN_LNC007694)". The record is from RNAcentral. Lineage: Eukaryota; Viridiplantae; Streptophyta; Magnoliopsida; Solanales; Solanaceae.